GAGUUUGAUCGUGGCUCAGGAUGAACGCUGGCGGCGUGCCUAAUACAUGCAAGUCGAGCGAACAGACGAGGAGCUUGCUCCUCUGACGUUAGCGGCGGACGGGUGAGUAACACGUGGAUAACCUACCUAUAAGACUGGGAUAACUUCGGGAAACCGGAGCUAAUACCGGAUAAUAUAUUGAACCGCAUGGUUCAAUAGUGAAAGACGGUUUUGCUGUCACUUAUAGAUGGAUCCGCGCCGCAUUAGCUAGUUGGUAAGGUAACGGCUUACCAAGGCAACGAUGCGUAGCCGACCUGAGAGGGUGAUCGGCCACACUGGAACUGAGACACGGUCCAGACUCCUACGGGAGGCAGCAGUAGGGAAUCUUCCGCAAUGGGCGAAAGCCUGACGGAGCAACGCCGCGUGAGUGAUGAAGGUCUUCGGAUCGUAAAACUCUGUUAUUAGGGAAGAACAAAUGUGUAAGUAACUAUGCACGUCUUGACGGUACCUAAUCAGAAAGCCACGGCUAACUACGUGCC
Molecule: ribosomal RNA, 518 nt
Filed under: uncultured microorganism
Description: bacterial SSU rRNA
Rfam family: Bacterial small subunit ribosomal RNA
Source: RNAcentral